This is a non-coding RNA of Monodelphis domestica (gray short-tailed opossum), 65 nucleotides long. NCBI's taxonomy places the organism in Eukaryota, Metazoa, Chordata, Mammalia, Didelphimorphia, Didelphidae. The record is from RefSeq and is marked provisional.
AGAGAGAGACACAGACAAAACGUUUUGUUUUCUGCUAUGUGAAACGUGUGUGUGUGUCUCUUUGG